Long non-coding RNA from Astatotilapia calliptera (eastern happy), 583 nucleotides. The record is from Ensembl. Lineage: Eukaryota; Metazoa; Chordata; Actinopteri; Cichliformes; Cichlidae.
CCGCACAGAGCGUUUCGGACAGUCGGGCACUGCUUAUGCAAUAAAGAAAAACAACAAUACAGCAUGUUUCUCUGCUCCAAGACAUCCGCGGUCCUUUCACACGGUUCUCAGUCAUCCAGCUCAUGGUUGUCUAAGGAGCCUGGAAACACUUCAGCCACCUGGAAAUACCCAGCCUGCAGAAGGAGACGUCGUUCAGGUUGCAGGACUUGGUGGUUAUAGAGUAAAUGCCACCGGCCACACACUCCCUGAUGAACCACCUAAUCUUCAGUGUGCAGACAUGUGUGUUGCUGACUGUGAGCCUACCAGAUACUCUCAGUGUACUGCAUAUGUGCCAUAUAACAACAGGCUGUGUCUGGAAGAACAUCAAGUAGAUGCACGUGGGGGUGAUUCUGGUGGUGGAGUGAUUUACAACAACAUGAUUUAUGGUGUAAUCAGUUCUGGUUUUGAACGUGUCUGUACUGGACCAGCUGUUACUGUGAAUGUUUGUUCUGACAUGAACUGGAUAAAUCAGAAAAUUGCUCAAAAUAAUGGAAAAUAACUGAAUGAAAAUAACAUCCAGAAUAAACAAUCAUCUCUACAUGAA